RNAcentral lists this long non-coding RNA (543 nucleotides) under Mus musculus (house mouse). RNAcentral describes it as "predicted gene, 30018". Lineage: Eukaryota; Metazoa; Chordata; Mammalia; Rodentia; Muridae. The record is from RNAcentral.
AUGACCAGCAAACUGAGCCAAGCCAUGUCAGCAGAGCGGGGAGCGGGAGAGCCAGAAGCUGAUAGGCCAGGAGGCCAGGAGACCUAAAAGGGCCCCCAAAAGCAAAAGAUCACAUAGCCAAAAUGGCUGGGUUAUAUAGGGAAGAGCAGCUGGUGGAAGGGCAACCCUGCCCAGUCCCUGGGGCUGGAGAAGUUUAAGGGAGUGUGGGAUAUGGCAGCCGCAGGACCCUGUAACAGUCAUCGAGAGCUCGAAGGCAGGAGUAUCAAGAUCACAGAAUAUUUAAUAAACAAAAACAGCUUACGUGGUUGUUGAGUGGGGAUGGCUUCAAAUCCCCCAUCAAUUCGCUCUUCCAAAAACACUGAUAUUUGGAUGUUGUACUGGCUGGUUUUGUGUGUCAACUUGACACAAGCUGGAGUUAUCACAGAGAAAGGAGCUUCAGCUUCUGCCUCCAGGUUCCUGCCCCAUGUGAGUUCCAGUCCUGACUUCCUUUGGUGAUGAACAGCAGUGUGGAAGUGUAAGCUGAAUAAACCCUUUCCUCCCUAA